CCUACGGGAGGCAGCAGUGGGGAAUAUUGGUCAAUGGACGAGAGUCUGAACCAGCCAAGUAGCGUGAAGGAUGACUGCCCUAUGGGUUGUAAACUUCUUUUAUAUGGGAAUAAAAUGUUCCACGUGUGGGAUUUUGUAUGUACCAUAUGAAUAAGGAUCGGCUAACUCCGUGCCAGCAGCCGCGGUAAUACGGAGGAUCCGAGCGUUAUCCGGAUUUAUUGGGUUUAAGGGGAGCGUAGGUGGAUUGUUAAGUCAGUUGUGAAAGUUUGCGGCUCAACCGUAAAAUUGCAGUUGAAACUGGCAGUCUUGAGUACAGUAGAGGUGAGCGGAAUUCGUGGUGUAGCGGUGAAAUGCUUAGAUAUCACGAAGAACUCCGAUGGCGAAGGCAGUUCACUGGACUGCAACUGACACUGAGGCUCGAAAGUGUGGGUAUCAAACAGGAUUAGAUACCCCUGUAGUA
RNAcentral lists this ribosomal RNA (460 nucleotides) under uncultured bacterium. RNAcentral describes it as "partial 16S ribosomal RNA". It matches the Rfam family "Bacterial small subunit ribosomal RNA", at positions 338 to 795 of the family's 1533-position model. The record is from RNAcentral.